GAUCAAGAUGACCGUCACCUUCAACAACCACAGGAAGCCACAGCUCUCCAAGUUCCACCAGCUCUACAGUGAAGACACACAACAGCAAAUCAUCAGGGAGACUUUCCACUUGGUAUUUAAGAGAGAUGAAAAUGUUUGUAAGUUUCUAGAAGAAGGAUUAUUAAUUGGAGGAUAGGACAACAAACUGAUUUCUAGACCUCACAUAAUAACAUAUUUUGUCUUCUGUGUGGGUUCUUCAGAAAAUGAACUUGGUGUUUUAGAUCUAAUUUGAGUAUUUGUGGAAACAUUAGGCAAGUGUUUUUGAAAAUGUGAACUGGAUUUCAUCUUCCAUGUGGCUCACAUUAUUCUUGUAGAAAUGAUAUUGGGAGAGACCAACAAGAAUGAGCUUGUUACACAAAUUAAUGUGCAAAAUAAGCUGAAAAAAACAAAGGUUGGCUUUACAGGAACCUAGCAGCCCAUGCUGUAUCAGCUGUAUAGAAUAUAAACCCUCCCAAGAGUCCAAGAAACAUUAACACUGGUGACAUCGGUAUAAAAGUGCCAAACCUGCCCUCUUUUAGAUAAA
This 562-nucleotide long non-coding RNA is filed under the name Homo sapiens (human). RNAcentral describes it as "non-protein coding lnc-C6orf62-2:1". The record is from RNAcentral. Lineage: Eukaryota; Metazoa; Chordata; Mammalia; Primates; Hominidae.